GAAUCUGUCUGUAAGUGAGCUUAGGAAUA
This 29-nucleotide non-coding RNA is filed under the name Rattus norvegicus (Norway rat). The record is from RNAcentral. Lineage: Eukaryota; Metazoa; Chordata; Mammalia; Rodentia; Muridae.